GGCUAACGCUGGCGGCGUGUCUUAGCCAUGCAAGUCGAGCGGACUUAUGGGGUAACUUAUAAGUCAGCGGCGGACGGCGGAGUAACACGUAGCUAACCUACCCUCUGGACGGGGAUAACCUACCGAAAGGUGGGCUAAUACCCGAUGUAGUCAUCCUGUAUAGGGGUGAUGAAAGGUGGGCUUCUGUUUACAAGCUCAUGCUGGAGGAGGGGGCUGCGGCCUAUCAGGUAGUUGGUAGGGUAAUAGCCUACCAAGCCGAUGACGGGUAGCCGGCCUGAGAGGGUGACCGGCCCGAGGGGCACUGAGAUACGGGUCCCACUCCUACGGGAGGCAGCAGGCUAGAAAUUUGGGCAAUGGGGGAAACCCUGACCCAGUGACGCCGCGUGCAGGAAGGAGCCCUUCGGGGUGUAAACUCCUUUUCUCAGGGAAAAAGGAUGAUGGUACCUGAGGAAUAAGCCCGGCUAACUACGUG
This 472-nucleotide ribosomal RNA is filed under the name uncultured bacterium. Its description in RNAcentral is "bacterial SSU rRNA". It matches the Rfam family "Bacterial small subunit ribosomal RNA", at positions 28 to 507 of the family's 1533-position model. The record is from RNAcentral.